Anas platyrhynchos (mallard) is the source of this 629-nucleotide non-coding RNA. The record is from RefSeq and is a predicted model, not a curated record. NCBI's taxonomy places the organism in Eukaryota, Metazoa, Chordata, Aves, Anseriformes, Anatidae.
UCGCCUCACAGGCGGCCCCUCAGGGCGGUCCCUUCCCGCCACUUCUCCCUCGCACCGCUGCCGGCGGCCUCUCUGGGUUUUAACUUUCUGGCUUAUAGCCAAGUGUUAAAGGGAAAAAUGAAAAUAAAAAUAAAAACCAACAGUAUAUAAAUGACGUAGAGCAAGUGACAGCUGCGUGGUUGCACAAAUCGGCCUCUGUCCGCCGAACCGAUGAGUCGUAAUAAAAUCAGUAGAUCUGGAAAUCCGUUACAACAGUUGCAGCACGUGCUGACAAACGCUGAAGGGAGGGAGACAACGCUAACAUUUGUGAAAUCAGAAUCCUGGAGAUGGAUUGUUCCCUUCAAUCCGUGUGCCUCCCCUGUCACACACACCGCAACCGCUCUCCUACCUCAGCGCUGAAGCCAAAGAAAUCCUGCAACUGAACACCACCAAGAUCAGCAUCCAGCAACGUAACACCCUCAGCUGAUGUCUUUGGAAAUCCCUUUACAAUAAAAACUUUUUUUUUUUUGUUAGCAUAUCUUCAGAAUUGUAACUUUGACAUGUAAUUUUUUAAAAUAAUAGCAGCUGUUUCCUCGUGUUAUUAAUGAUUUAUAUCAAGUAAUGGGAAGCUGUGGGGAAAAAAAUAGUUU